GGCAGCCCAGUCAAAUUCAGAGCUUCCUGCUCAGUGGGAGCUUCUGGCCAAAGUGGCUGCUACAGUGAAGCUGUAGUUCAUGGGCCUCACGGUGCUCCACCAUCACCUCUGAGGAUAAAUAUGUACUACACACACAC
Gouania willdenowi (blunt-snouted clingfish) is the source of this 137-nucleotide small nucleolar RNA. Ensembl annotates it as small nucleolar RNA SNORA5. Lineage: Eukaryota; Metazoa; Chordata; Actinopteri; Blenniiformes; Gobiesocidae. The record is from Ensembl.